Non-coding RNA from Dipodomys ordii (Ord's kangaroo rat), 72 nucleotides. NCBI's taxonomy places the organism in Eukaryota, Metazoa, Chordata, Mammalia, Rodentia, Heteromyidae. The record is from Rfam.
AUGGGGAUGGCUCAGUGGUAGAGUGCUUGCCUUGCAUGCAUGAGGCUCUGGGUUCGAUUCCCCAUCACCACA